Molecule: long non-coding RNA, 1485 nt
Filed under: Mus musculus (house mouse)
Lineage: Eukaryota; Metazoa; Chordata; Mammalia; Rodentia; Muridae
Description: long non-coding RNA chr15:76526435-76527920
Source: RNAcentral
UUUUUUUUUUUUUUAACAGUUUUUGCCUGAGUUUAUUUGUAGAAACAGCAUAGGACACCGGUCAUCUGCAAAUAGUGUGUGGGGAGGUAUGUCACAGCAGUCUGUCUGUCUUCACACUGGCAGGAGCCUUUUCUAUGGGGCCUUCACAGGGGCCUGGGCACCUUUGGGAGCCUGGGCUGGAGCUGAAGCCUGGGUCUUAGCUGGAGCUUUGGCCUCUGCCUUGGUUUGAACCUUGGGCUUUGGUUGGCAGAGCCUUUGACCCUUGGCCACGUAGCUUCGAAUCUGCUUCCCAAGCUUGGGGUGAGCGAUGAAAGCCAGACGGCUAAGUUUGCAGCAUCUUGGACUUGACGGCCUGAGGCUUCUCCAGGGCCUUGACGGCCUCUGCGCGCGCACUCACUGCCUUUGCAUUGCUGGCCUGCAUCUUCUUCAGGCCUUUCUUGGUGUGCAUCUUGGCAAAGCGCAUGUUCCUCAGGAACUUGGGGUCAACCCCCUUAAGAGAUUCGUAGCUUUGCGACCGGGGUUUCUUGAUGCCAUUUCUGUGCCAUUUUCGGGACUGGUUGUGUGUGGUGUGGUUCUUGGACUUGGCCGUGUCUGCAUGGUAACCCGCGGCUCCCCUUUUAUUGGUUUUUCGAGACAGGGUUUCUCUGAAUAACCCUGGCUGUCCUAAAACUCACUCUGUAGACCAGGCUGGCCUCGAACUCAGAAAUCCUCCUGCCUCUGCCUCCCAAGUGCUGGGAUUAAAGGCGUGUGCCACCACUGUCCGGUGUUUGUUGUUUUUAUUUUAUUUUAUUUUAUUUUAUUUUAUUGAGACAGUUUCUCUGUGUAACAGCUCUGGCUGUCUUGGAACUCACCUUGUAGAUGGGCCAUCCCCAAACUCAAAACAGUCUCAAACUCAACAAAGAUCUGCCAGCCUCUGCCACCCCCCUCCCCAAGUGCCAGGAUAAAAGGUGUACACCUUCACCUGGCCAUGCAUGAACUUUUAUAGAACAAAGAUGAUUAGACCCCUAAGAGGUUAACAGGUAACUGGUAUACAAUAAUUUACUAGGAUCCCAAAACAUGACAAUUUAGUCCCAGCGCUGGGGAGGCAGGGGUUGGUGGAUCUUGGAGUUCAAGGCAGCUGGUCUACAGAUGGAGUUCCAGAACGGCUGGGGCUUUACAGAAAAACUCUGUCUCAAAAUAAUAAUAUUAAUAAUGAUGAUGAUGAUGAAAAAUAUUUUUUUCAUAAAAGCAGAGAAAGCAUGCCCAUUCAUGAGGAAGCCUGUACCUAUGAUUAUAUUCUCCGUUAACUGAAGGCAUUUUAGAAUAUGAUAUCUGGUAUUUACUUCAGAAUAACAAAAAGAAAGGGCUGUGGGUGAUCCAGUUUUUGAUGAACAUGGUGAGGGGCGCAGACUUCUCAAACUCACCCUGCUUUAAUGCAGAAUUUGAUGUUUUCUAUAGGAAAAAAAAAUCCUGAAAUUUGCAUUUUGUGAUUAAAUCGGUGUGCUU